RNAcentral lists this small nuclear RNA (21 nucleotides) under Arabidopsis thaliana (thale cress). RNAcentral's name for it is "snRNA_03202". Lineage: Eukaryota; Viridiplantae; Streptophyta; Magnoliopsida; Brassicales; Brassicaceae. The record is from RNAcentral.
AUAUCAUUUUGUUGUGUGAUG